AUUGAACGCUGGAGGCAUGCCUUACACAUGCAAGUCGAACGGUAACGGGCCUUCGGGUGCCGACGAGUGGCGAACGGGUGAGUAAUACAUCGGAACGUGCCCGAUCGUGGGGGAUAACGAGGCGAAAGCUUUGCUAAUACCGCAUACGAUCUACGGAUGAAAGCAGGGGACCGCAAGGCCUUGCGCGGACGGAGCGGCCGAUGGCAGAUUAGGUAGUUGGUGGGAUAAAAGCUUACCAAGCCGACGAUCUGUAGCUGGUCUGAGAGGAUGAUCAGCCACACUGGGACUGAGACACGGCCCAGACUCCUACGGGAGGCAGCAGUGGGGAAUUUUGGACAAUGGGCGCAAGCCUGAUCCAGCCAUGCCGCGUGCAGGAUGAAGGCCUUCGGGUUGUAAACUGCUUUUGUACGGAACGAAAAGCCUUCUUUUAAUACAGGAGGGUCAUGACGGUACCGUAAGAAUAAGCACCGGCUAACUACGUG
RNAcentral lists this ribosomal RNA (482 nucleotides) under uncultured bacterium. RNAcentral's name for it is "partial 16S ribosomal RNA". It matches the Rfam family "Bacterial small subunit ribosomal RNA", at positions 30 to 507 of the family's 1533-position model. The record is from RNAcentral.